GGCCUUCGUCAGGGAGGAGACCAAGAACCCGAUGGUCACUCUGACAAAGCUCCAGAGUUCCUCUGUGGAGAUGGGAGAACCUUCCAGAAGGACAACCCUCCCUGCAACACUCCACCAAUCAAGCCUUUAUGGUAGUGGCCAAAUGGAAGCCACUCCUAGUAAGAGUCACAUGACAGCCCACUUGGAGUUUGCCAAAAAAGGACUCAGACCAUGAGAAACAAGAUUCUCUGGUCUGAUGAAACCAAGAUUGAACUCUUUGGCCUGAAUGCCAAGCGUCAUACCGGGAGGAAACCUGGCACCAUCCCUACGGUGGAUGGUGGUGGCAGCACCAUGCUGUUGGGAUGUUUUUCAGUGGCAGGGACUGGGAUACUAGUCAGGAUCGAGGGAAAUAUAAAUGGUUCCAGACUGGGGCGAAGGUUCACAUUCCAACAGGACAACAACCCUAAGCACAGUCAAGACAAUGAAGGAGUUGAGAAUGUCCUUGAGCCAGAGCCAGAGCCCGAUCGAACAUCUCUGGAUACUUGAAAAUAGCUGUGCAGCAAAGCUCCCCAUCUAACCUGACAGAGCUUGAGAGGAUCUGCAGAGAAGAAUGGGACAAACUCCUCAAAUACAGCUUGUAGCAUCAUACCCAAGAAGACUCAAGUCUGUAAUCGCUGCCAAAGGUGCUUUAAAGUACUGAGUAAAGGGUCUGAAUACUUAUCAGCGUGACGUCCAAUAGGAGCCUCUCCUCGUACAGCGCCCGGAACCCUGAGGACACGCUUCCAUCAUGGACCUGGGACAGGUGAAGGAUUGAAGGGAUACGGAGAAUGAGAAACUAUGGAUUGGCAAAGCGAGCGAGAGAAUUUAUAAUUGUACCAGGGCGGACCCUAUGAAAAAACUACAAAUGGACACGUUAUGAAUGACGUCGUCAAGAAAGGACGG
Oncorhynchus masou masou (cherry salmon) is the source of this 921-nucleotide long non-coding RNA. RefSeq lists it as uncharacterized. NCBI's taxonomy places the organism in Eukaryota, Metazoa, Chordata, Actinopteri, Salmoniformes, Salmonidae. The transcript has 3 exons. The record is from RefSeq and is a predicted model, not a curated record.